This 413-nucleotide ribosomal RNA is filed under the name uncultured bacterium. Its description in RNAcentral is "bacterial SSU rRNA". It matches the Rfam family "Bacterial small subunit ribosomal RNA", at positions 28 to 436 of the family's 1533-position model. The record is from RNAcentral.
GACGAACGCUGGCGGCGCGCCUAACACAUGCAAGUCGAACGAGCGAGAGAGAGCUUGCUUUCUCGAGCGAGUGGCGAACGGGUGAGUAACGCGUGAGGAACCUGCCUCAAAGAGGGGGACAACAGUUGGAAACGACUGCUAAUACCGCAUAAGCCCACAGGUCGGCAUCGACCAGAGGGAAAAGGAGCAAUCCGCUUUGAGAUGGCCUCGCGUCCGAUUAGCUAGUUGGUGAGGUAAUGGCCCACCAAGGCAACGAUCGGUAGCCGGACUGAGAGGUUGAACGGCCACAUUGGGACUGAGACACGGCCCAGACUCCUACGGGAGGCAGCAGUGGGGAAUAUUGCACAAUGGGGGAAACCCUGAUGCAGCGACGCCGCGUGGAGGAAGAAGGUCUUCGGAUUGUAAACUCCUGU